AGCGUUGCAAAAUGGUGGCGCUUCCUUCCUUAUCCCCACCGCCACCGCGUCCUUCCCCGUCUCCGGCCACACCUCGCCGCCGGCCACCUCCGCCGCCGCCGCCUCAUGCUACCCCUUCACACCGCGUCCGGAGCCGGCCUGCCACCGUCGUGUCCGCCGCCUCCGGUGUCACCGACGGCUACCACUCCACCAUCCGCUCCCUCAACUCCCGCGGCCGCCACGUCCCCCGCAAAUCCCUCGGCCAGAACUACAUGCUGAACUCGAAGGUGAACGAGGAGCUGGUGGCGGCGGCGGGGGUGGAGGAGGGGGACGUCGUGCUCGAGAUCGGCCCGGGGACUGGGUCUCUUACGGCCGCUCUCCUCGAUGCCGGCGCCACCGUCUUCGCCGUAGAGAAGGAUAAGCAUAUGGCCACCCUUGUGAAUGAUAGGUUUGGAUCCACAGAACAAUUGAAGAUCAUUGAAGAAGAUAUCACAAAAUUUAAUGUCCGCUCCCAUUUUCUUCCUUUCCUGGAGGAAAAAUCCCAUCACACGAGAAAAUAUGCCAAGGUGGUGUCAAAUUUACCAUUCAAUGUAAGUACUGAAGUUGUCAAACUUCUUCUCCCAAUGGGAGAUGUCUUUUCUGUCAUGGUGCUUUUGCUUCAGGAUGAAACGGCAUUGCGCUUUGCAGAUGCUUCAAUACAAACACCAGAGUACCGACCUAUCAAUGUGUUUGUGAAUUUCUACUCAGAACCAGAAUACAAGUUCAAAGUUGAGAGGACAAAUUUUUUCCCUCAACCGAAGGUUGAUGGUGCUGUUAUAAGCUUUAAGCUAAAGAAUUCAGGGGAUUAUCCACCAGUUGGUUCUCACAAAGGUUUCUUUUCAAUGGUGAACUCUGCUUUCAAUGGGAAGCGCAAGAUGCUUCGUAAAUCACUCCAGCACCUGUGUUCUUCCUCUGAGAUUGAGGCUGCUCUGGCCAACAUUGGUCUUCCAGUUACAGCUAGACCUUCUGAUCUGUUGUUGGAUGAUUUUGUGAGGUUGCACAAUCAUUUGACAAAAGCAUGAAUAUUUGGUGCCUUCCUAAUGCUCAUGGAACUAUCUGUUGGUUUGCCGGCUGCCCUCUAAGCAUAUCGCCUAAGAAAUUUUGUCCCCAUAGUAUCACUACCGACUGCAGGUUCUGUUAGCUGACACUGCCAGUGCUCGCCCGAUUUUCUCCAGUCGUUGCACGGCCUUCAGGCUUCAGUUGCAACAAUAGUGGUGAUGGUACCUGUCUGAAUUUUGAAGUGCCCUUGCAUGGAUGACCUUGAUGUUUGUGUUCCAAGUUCCAACUUCGAAGCAGUAGCAGACUAGCAGACCUGCAUGCCACGAUUUGCUAGCAUUCAUUUGCAUGAGAGUUGCAGGCCUAUCUCUAUCUGAUAUAUGGCAUUUCAUCGUUGGACAAAUGAAAACUGUGUCAUGUACAAAAUUUUGGAAAGGCGAUGUGUGCAUAAUUUCCGGAUAUCCUCUUCUGACAUCUUCACAAACUGGAGUAGGCAAUCUGGGCAAUGCAAAUUGCAAAAACCAGAGAUGUUGGAAGGAACGGUGCGAAGACCAAAGAAUUCAGCUAUUUAUAAUAAACCAGAGAUGUAGGUAGAGGCAUCCAUGCUGUAUUAUACAGAUUUUGGGCUUGAACUUUGUUCAUAAACUGUAGUGAAGUCUGGAAAAUGUAAAUUCUACUCGUCAUGCUUGAUGCCCUUAGACAUGUACGUACUUGUCAACCGUGGCACGGUGGUAAGACAUUAAGACAGUUUAUAUUUAGUUCAUUUCCUGGUAAACA
Oryza sativa Japonica Group (Japanese rice) is the source of this 1791-nucleotide RNA transcript. It is a transcript of the gene named ribosomal RNA small subunit methyltransferase, chloroplastic, with no coding region annotated. NCBI's taxonomy places the organism in Eukaryota, Viridiplantae, Streptophyta, Magnoliopsida, Poales, Poaceae. The record is from RefSeq and is a predicted model, not a curated record.